RNAcentral lists this ribosomal RNA (429 nucleotides) under Chloroflexota bacterium. RNAcentral describes it as "Chloroflexi bacterium partial 16S ribosomal RNA". It matches the Rfam family "Bacterial small subunit ribosomal RNA", at positions 355 to 776 of the family's 1533-position model. The record is from RNAcentral. Lineage: Bacteria; Bacillati; Chloroflexota.
UGGGGAAUAUUGCACAAUGGGCGCAAGCCUGAUGCAGCCAUGCCGCGUGUAUGAAUAAGGCCUUCGGGUUGUAAAGUACUUUCAGCGGGGAGGAAGGGAGUAAAGUUAAUACCUUUGCUCAUUAACGUUACCCGCAGAAGAAGCACCGGCUAACUCCGUGCCAGCAGCCGCGGUAAAACGGAGGGUGCAAGCUUUAAUCGGAAUUACUGGGCGUAAAGCGCACGAAGGCGGUUUGUUAAGUCAGAUGUGAAAGCCCCGGGCUCAACCUGGGAACUGCAUCUGAUACUGGCAAGCUUGAGUCUCGUAGAGGGGGGUAGAAUUCCAGGUGUAGCGGUGAAAUGCGUAGAGAUCUGGAGGAAUACCGGUGGCGAAGGCGGCCCCCUGAACGAAGACUGACGCUCAGGUGCGAAAGCGUGGGGAGCAAACAGG